ACCCGCUGAACUUAAGCAUAUCAAUAAGCGGAGGAAAAGAAACUAACAAGGAUUCCCCUAGUAACGGCGAGUGAAGCGGGAUGAGCUCAAAUUUAAAAUCUGGCUGGUUUACCAGUCCGAGUUGUAGUUUAAAGAAGCGUUUUCGGUGGCAGUCUCGGUAUAAAUCCUUUGGAAUAGGGUAUCAUAGAGGGUGAGAAUCCCGUCUUUGACUGAGAAUAUGCUACUAUGUGAUACGUUUUCAAAGAGUCGAGUUGUUUGGGAAUGCAGCUCAAAAUGGGUGGUAAAUUUCAUCUAAAGCUAAAUAUUGGCGAGAGACCGAUAGCGAACAAGUACCGUGAGGGAAAGAUGAAAAGAACUUUGAAAAGAGAGUUAAACAGUGCGUGAAAUUGUUGAAAGGGAAACGCUUGAAACCAGUCAUGCGGUUGGGAAAUCAGUCUCUGACAGGGGGGAAUGGGGGAGUUGUGGACCGCAAGGCCGCUCUUCUUCAUAUCUCUUUUGGCAGGGAUGCACUUUUUCUUCUGCAGGUCAACAUCAGUUUGCUUUGCCGGACAAAACUUGGGGGAAGGUGACAGCUUUGGCUGUGUUAUAGCCCUCGAGCGAUACGGUGGAGCGGACUGAGGUUUUCGCAGCAUGUGCUCUCGGGCAAGGCUGAUUGGGUGCUAUGAGAUCGUUCAGGGUACAAUACAUGUAUUUUGCUCUGUGUCUUUCUUAUACUCGCUCAACUCGGCUCUUCCAUGCUUAGGAUGUUGACAUAAUGGUUUUAAUCGACCCGUCUUGAAACACGG
Molecule: ribosomal RNA, 785 nt
Filed under: uncultured fungus
Lineage: Eukaryota; Fungi
Description: LSU rRNA
Rfam family: Eukaryotic large subunit ribosomal RNA
Source: RNAcentral